RNAcentral lists this unclassified non-coding RNA (229 nucleotides) under plant metagenome. Its description in RNAcentral is "partial contains small subunit ribosomal RNA, internal transcribed spacer 1, and 5.8S ribosomal RNA". The record is from RNAcentral.
UCUCCGUAGGUGAACCUGCGGAGGGAUCAUUACAGAGUUCUCGCCCUCGCGGGUAGAUCCCCCACCCACUGUUAUCGUUACUGUGUUGCUUUGGCGGGCCGCCGGUCCCCGCUCGGCCGCCGGCUCCGGCUGGCGCGCGCCCGCCAGAGGCCCAGCAAACUCUGAAUGUUAGUGUCGUCUGAGUACUAUAUAAUAGUUAAAACUUUCAACAACGGAUCUCUUGGCUCUC